CAGUCGCCGCGGUAAUACGAAGGGGGCUAGCGUUGCUCGGAAUUACUGGGCGUAAAGGGAGCGUAGGCGGACAUUUAAGUCAGGGGUGAAAUCCCAGAGCUCAACUCUGGAACUGCCUUUGAUACUGGGUGUCUUGAGUGUGAUAGAGGUAUGUGGAACUCCGAGUGUAGAGGUGAAAUUCGUAGAUAUUCGGAAGAACACCAGUGGCGAAGGCGACAUACUGGAUCAUUACUGACGCUGAGGCUCGAAAGCGUGGGGAGCAAACAGGAUUAGAUACCCGUGUAGUCCCUGUCUCUUAUAC
Molecule: ribosomal RNA, 301 nt
Filed under: uncultured bacterium
Lineage: Bacteria
Description: partial 16S ribosomal RNA
Rfam family: Bacterial small subunit ribosomal RNA
Source: RNAcentral